This 347-nucleotide ribosomal RNA is filed under the name uncultured bacterium. Its description in RNAcentral is "bacterial SSU rRNA". It matches the Rfam family "Bacterial small subunit ribosomal RNA", at positions 29 to 408 of the family's 1533-position model. The record is from RNAcentral.
AACGAACGCUGGCGGCAGGCUUAACACAUGCAAGUCGAGCGCGUAGCAAUACGAGCGGCAGACGGGUGAGUAACGCGUGGGAAUCUACCCAACCCUACGGAAUAACGCAUGGAAACGUGUGCUAAUACCGUAUACGCCCUUCGGGGAAGGAUUAUCGGGAGUGGAUGAGCCCGCGUUGGAUUAGCUAGUUGGUGGGGUAAAGGCCUACCAAGGCGACGAUCCAUAGCUGGUCUGAGAGGAUGAUCAGCAACACUGGGACUGAGACACGGCCCAGACUCCUACGGGAGGCAGCAGUGAGGAAUAUUGGUCAAUGGACGCAAGUCUGAACCAGCAUGCCGCGUGAAGGA